Molecule: ribosomal RNA, 250 nt
Filed under: uncultured bacterium
Lineage: Bacteria
Description: partial 16S ribosomal RNA
Rfam family: Bacterial small subunit ribosomal RNA
Source: RNAcentral
UAGGGAAUCUUCCACAAUGGACGCAAGUCUGAUGGAGCAACGCCGCGUGAGUGAAGAAGGUCUUCGGAUCGUAAAGCUCUGUUGUUGGUGAAGAAGGAUAGAGGCAGUAACUGGUCUUUAUUUGACGGUAAUCAACCAGAAAGUCACGGCUAACUACGUGCCAGCAGCCGCGGUAAUACGUAGGUGGCAAGCGUUGUCCGGAUUUAUUGGGCGUAAAGCGAGCGCAGGCGGAAUGAUAAGUCUGAUGUGA